RNAcentral lists this long non-coding RNA (333 nucleotides) under Homo sapiens (human). RNAcentral describes it as "HSALNT0191042". The record is from RNAcentral. Lineage: Eukaryota; Metazoa; Chordata; Mammalia; Primates; Hominidae.
GGUUUAUAAAACUCACUAAAACAUACAAAUGUAAAACCAAAUGUUACCCUGCUGAUUUGAAAGGGAUUCUGGCAUGACUUCUCAGAUAAAGAUACAAAUACAUUCUUUGUUCAUUUCCAUGAACGGCCUUUUUAUGGCUUUUGAGACCUAGUCUAAGUCAGUAAAAGUCAGAAUUUGUGUUGCUGAUAGGUGUUGGCCUUGUAAAACUGGAAAAAAGGAAUCACAUUUUCUAUAACAUAUGAAUGCACAAGUGAUUCAUUCUUUGGCUCAGGAUGGAAACAUUUAUUUUUGGCACUCUUGAUUCUUCUUUCUUCAUUAGCUUCACAGAUUUUU